AGAAUGAACGUUGGCGGCGUGGAUUAGGCAUGCAAGUCGUGCGGAAAGGCCCCGCAAGGGGUACUCGAGCGGCGAAAGGGAUAGUAACACGUAGGUACCCACCUCUGGGACGGGGAUAGCCGGGGGAAACUCCGAUUAAUACCCGAUGACGUCCUAGGACCAAAGGUGUGAUUCCGCCCGGAGACGGGCCUGCGUCCUAUCAGCUAGUUGGUGAGGUAACGGCACACCGAGGCAACGACGGGUAGCGGGUGUGAGAGCACGACCCGCAUCACUGGGACUGAGACACUGCCCAGACACCUACGGGUGGCUGCAGUCGAGAAUCUUCGGCAAUGGGCGAAAGCCUGACCGAGCGACGCCGCGUGCGGGAUGAAGGCCCUCGGGUUGUAAACCGCUGUCAGUGGGGAGGAAGUCUAGUGGGGAUCACCCCAUUAGUUGACCUAUCCGCAGAGGAAGGACGGGCUAAGUUCGUGCCAGCAGCCGCGGUAAUACGAACCGUCCUAACGUUAUUCGGAAUCACUGGGCUUAAAGGGUGCGUAGGCGGCUCAGAAAGUUGGGUGUGAAAUCCCUCGGCUUAACCGAGGAAUUGCGCUCAAAACUACUGAGCUUGAGGGAGACAGAGGUGAGCGGAACUUAGGGUGGAGCGGUGAAAUGCGUUGAUAUCCUAAGGAACACCGGUGGCGAAAGCGGCUCACUGGGUCUUUUCUGACGCUGAGGCACGAAAGCCAGGGGAGCGAAGAGGAUUAGAUACCCUCGUAGUCCUGGCCGUAAACGAUGAGCACUAGGUCGAAGAUCUCUCCAUAGGUUUUUGGCCGUAGCGAAAGUGUUAAGUGCUCCGCCUGGGGAGUAUGGGUCGCAGGCUGAAACU
RNAcentral lists this ribosomal RNA (865 nucleotides) under uncultured bacterium. RNAcentral's name for it is "bacterial SSU rRNA". It matches the Rfam family "Bacterial small subunit ribosomal RNA", at positions 26 to 901 of the family's 1533-position model. The record is from RNAcentral.